GUGCUCCCUUCGGCAGCACAUAUACUAAAAUUGGAAUGAUAUAGAGAAGAUUAGCAUGGCCCUUGCGCAAGGAUGACACGCAAAUUCAGGAAGCGUUCCAUAUUUUU
Molecule: small nuclear RNA, 107 nt
Organism: Panthera leo (lion)
Lineage: Eukaryota; Metazoa; Chordata; Mammalia; Carnivora; Felidae
Source: Ensembl